CUGUCCUCUUCUGAUGGAGAAUUUUCCUCACUAGCCAUGAGCCUUACUUUUCUCUCUAAAAACAUUGGCUGACAUCCUAACUAUCAAAAGUGAGGACACACUGAGACACUGUGUCUUCGCUGCUACAGGCUUUCCUACUCAAGCAUCAUGCACAGGGGGAGGUGCUCUUAAAUGGGCUGGAGGCUUCCCUACUACCACAGCUAGUAUGUACGGACACACACGCUACUCUGUGCCUUCCAAAAAUAAGUUCCUGAGGGUCUUGCGGUCCUCGGGGACAUAUUUUUUGAGGGCACGGAGCAUCUCCAGAGGCAGGAAAGAUCAGUGAAAUCACUCCCCCUGCCCACAGGUGCUACAGGAUAGGGAAGUCUCCAGAUGAAUUAAGAACACCUUCUCUGUGUCCUCUAUCACUUCAUUAGGAUGUCAGCCACCAUCUCUCACAGGCUAGGUCUCCAUGAGCUUGUGUGUGUGUGUGUAAUUUUAGGAUUUAUCAGUUGCCUUUGCAGGGGACCCUGCCAAAGGCAUCAUACUGUAUUUACCUGGAUAGAAGACAUCUCUAAAUUUAAGACAACCCCCUUAAAAAUAGAGGUUAAACUUAGGUUAUUCCUGUAUUUACCCAAAAGGAAGAGGAUUCUGAAUUUAAGACAACCCCCUGAUUUCGUAUGUCAAAGAACAGGGUGGGGAGACUAGUCUUGGAUUCAGGUACAGUGCAAUAAAAAUAUUAUGGUAUAUAUGCAAUAGAACACAUUCAAAACACAACGAUCAGUAAAACAAGUAUCAGCAUUCAACAAGUAGCAACUGUUUUUGCUUACAGCACAAAAUGUUGUAGCAUCUAGUUCUUAAAGUAAUGCUUUCAUCGGCUGCUUAAAUACAGUAAGAGAAAUGCUCAGGCAAAUCUCACUUGGGGGAGAAUUCCAGAGGGUUAGUUCCAUGACAGAGAAGACCUUGGUCUUUGUCCCCAUGAGUGAAACAUAAUGGACUUAAUGAGACAAAGAACCAAGCAUUACCUGCAGAUUAAACAAACAAACAAACAGAGGAGUUCUUAUGGUUGCUAUGAACAUGUGUCCAAUGAAAUGAAACCAUGUUCAGUGUGUGUCAAAAGUACUACAUGUGGCUGAUACAGUUUCAGACAAUGGCUGAAUUUUUUGUGCUCGUUUUUGGCUUUAAAAGAUACCAAAAUUCUUCUGGAGGGAGGGGAUGAGGGGGUAGUUGAUAUAUUACGAUAAUGGCCUUCUGCCCACUAAGACUUAAUAAUGGAUAAGGCAGAGUGGGAUCAAUUCAUUUAUUUCAGAGUCAACUAUCUGCCAUUCGAAAUGAGCUUUAAAACAAAUAAAGUGGAGUAUUGAUGCAGUUAACCCAAGCGUAGCUAUGUUCACUGAUGUGAAUCCUUUCCAAUCCAUUUACAUAAGCAUUCUCCUUUAUGCAGCAUCUUUUCUGUGAACUUGCCAAUUCUCACUGAACUGUGGGGGAAAGCACUCUUUCCCUUCCACACUCCCUCGGCAAUGCUCCGAAGGUUCCAUUUCAUUUCCAGUUUGCAGAGAACAGAUCUAUAACGGAAGCCAUUUAGGAAGCCUUCAGUUGUUCCGUCUGCUAUACUGAAGUGUCUCUCUUCUCCGAUGCUUGUUAAAGAAGAUUUAACAUAAUGAGUGGCAGCAUGCUCGUUAAAAUGGAGGGUGAUUGGAGGAUUUAAGACAAAUGAGCAGAAAAGUUUCCAGCCAUUCAUGCUGCAGUCAGAAAUACUGUUCAACAAAUCCCCACAGGGACCCAAAGAGUUGGAUGCGUUAUUAAUGAGUGUGUGUGGUUGGUGCAAAAUGAGUCAAGCCGAGCUGCGGCACAUUCUUGGAUGCUUAAAUGUCUCGUUAUAGCAUGUGUCAAUAUGGCAAGGUUAUAACUACCAGGCACACAGAGACAAUGACAAUGACAGUAAAGAUGUUCACAACAGCAGUCGUGGUGGCAAUCUAAAUAUUUAAUAUGCAGGAUGCUUGCUUUCUAACACUUAACAUGAAAUAUUAUCACAGCAGCAUUUCACUGCGUUCUAACAAUGUGUUUCUUUGCAUGAAGCUCUGUAUGGGGGAGAGGAUUGCCCAUUCCGUUUUAAAUUGGAAUUGCAUCUGAAGGUUUCCAGAAUCAACAAUGACUCCACAUCAAAAGUCAAGCUAUUAUGUGCCAGCAUGCCAAGAAAAAUACACUGCUGAACCAGGCUACAAUGGUCAACUUGCAACAUGUGAGCUGGGCAGGGACUGUGGUACACCUGGCUAAGAGCCGAAGGGCCUGUGCAGGCGCGUAACAACGAUCGGGCAAGGGGAGACAGUUGUCUGGGGGCCCCACUGCCUGGAGGGGCCCCCCAGAGGCACCUCACGUGACUCCCCAUUGCCCCCUGCCCAGCCCCAAGGCUCCUCAGCCACUUGCCCUGUUCGCCGUCUCCCCAGCUUGUUCUCCUGGCCGGCAAUGGAGCAGCAAACACGCUGCAAAGAACUCCUUUUCUCCCGCCUCUCAGCUGAUCGGCGGGUGGGCGGGGCUUCCACGGAGGUCUGGUGUAGGCCUCUGUGAAUCCUGAACUCCAGUAGGGCCCAAGCAAGCCAGGAAGGAGGAGGUAGCCAGAGAGGCCUCCACUGUUCUCUGCAGCAGAAGACCCCCUGCUGCCAGAAGUACUAUCCAUGCAACAACAACAAAAAUCAGCAAGUCUAAACAAGCCCUGAAAUAUGCUGAAUAUGGAUAGAAUAUGCAGGAAUAUGCAGUUAAUGUCCAAAGGAAGAGAACACAGGAUCCUGGAACUAAAUAGCAGCAGUCUACUAAGAUGAUGUCAUCAAGAAAGGUUAGGAUUCUUGGACCAUGGCCUGCACCACCUAUGUUAAGAUGCAUCUCACAAAGACUAGGAGGAACAACAUUCCUGAUAUGAUUUUUAUGGCUGUGGAAAGGCAACGUGGCUUUGGAAUCUCUAUGGGUACUUCAACAAAUUGCCAUUCUGCAAAAGUGGAAUCUACAGCUUUUAGGAAUCCUGUUCAGACAAAACAUAGUGUUCAGACAAAAUAUUCCUUUUUGUAUUAAGAAACCCUUGAAAUAUAAGCGGCUGACAAAAUGUAUUAUAUUGACUGACAUCCAGACUAACAAAGCACUGGCAUGCCGGGAGAAACACUGGUGCUUCUGAAAAGUUUAACUCAUCUCUACUGCUGGCUUAGCAGUAGGAACAAAUUUUAAUGACCAGGAAAUGCUCUGUGCAGCCCAAACAUAUGCCUCUGAGCGUCUUGUAGCCCUGAGGGACAUAUUUUGAGGUGACACAGAGGGCUUCUGGAAGAAAGAAAUUGAAAUCCCUUCCCAAACACACUAGCACUGGUGCAGAAUUAGUCUGGAACUCUUCAGAAGCACUGUUGCUACACUGAUGCCUCUCCUGUUGCUUCAGUGCUUCAUUAGUCAGAAUGCCAGCCAUUUAAAAAAAAUAUAUGGUGCAUUGCUUUAUAAUUUUCCGGUACCAUUUCUCAUUUCUGAAUGAUAAAGGAACUGUUCACACAGUCUGAAAAUACAUGUGAUGAUGCAGACAUUUACA
Hemicordylus capensis (graceful crag lizard) is the source of this 3541-nucleotide long non-coding RNA. RefSeq lists it as uncharacterized. The record is from RefSeq and is a predicted model, not a curated record. Lineage: Eukaryota; Metazoa; Chordata; Lepidosauria; Squamata; Cordylidae. The transcript has 4 exons.